This 254-nucleotide ribosomal RNA is filed under the name uncultured bacterium. RNAcentral's name for it is "partial 16S ribosomal RNA". It matches the Rfam family "Bacterial small subunit ribosomal RNA", at positions 524 to 776 of the family's 1533-position model. The record is from RNAcentral.
UACGAAGGGGGCUAGCGUUGUUCGGAAUUACUGGGCGUAAAGGGCGCGUAGGCGGUCUGUCAAGUCAGACGUGAAAUCCCCCGGCUUAACCUGGGAACUGCAUUGGUGACUGGCAGGCUUUGAGUGUGGCAGAGGGAGGUAGAAUUCCACGUGUAGCAGUGAAAUGCGUAGAGAUGUGGAGGAAUACCGAUGGCGAAGGCAGCCUCCUGGGCCAACACUGACGCUCAUGCACGAAAGCGUGGGGAGCAAACAGG